AUGUGUUCCAAGUCUUUAGAAAUUUCCAAGCACUCGUUGAACGAAAAUUUGAUAGAAAAAUCAUCGCCGUCCAAUCUGAUUGGGGGGGUGGGGGGCGAAUAUGAGAAGUUGAACACUUUCUUCCAAGAAAUUGGAAUCUCUCAUCAUGUGUCUUGUCCUCACGCCCAUCAACAGAAUGGGUCGGCCGAACGUAAGCAUCGGCAUAUUAUAGAGGUUGGUCUAGCUCUUCUUGCGGGUGCCUCCAUGCCCCUCAAAUUUUGGGAUGAGGAGUACCUCACUGCCGUGCACAUCAUAAACAUGCUUCCUAGUCGUGUUAUCAAUAAUGAAACCCCCAUGGAACGGCUUCUCAACAUCAAACCGGACUACACCUCUCUUCGUGUGUUUGGAUGUGCUUGCUGGCCGAAUCUUUGA
Molecule: ribosomal RNA, 411 nt
Filed under: Triticum aestivum (bread wheat)
Lineage: Eukaryota; Viridiplantae; Streptophyta; Magnoliopsida; Poales; Poaceae
Description: partial small subunit ribosomal RNA
Source: RNAcentral